This 253-nucleotide ribosomal RNA is filed under the name uncultured bacterium. RNAcentral describes it as "partial 16S ribosomal RNA". It matches the Rfam family "Bacterial small subunit ribosomal RNA", at positions 524 to 776 of the family's 1533-position model. The record is from RNAcentral.
UACGGAGGGGGCUAGCGUUGUUCGGAAUUACUGGGCGUAAAGCGUACGUAGGCGGCUUUGUAAGUUAGAGGUGAAAGCCCGGAGCUCAACUCCGGAAUUGCCUUUAAGACUGCAUCGCUUGAAUCGUGGAGAGGUUAGUGGAAUUCCGAGUGUAGAGGUGAAAUUCGUAGAUAUUCGGAAGAACACCAGUGGCGAAGGCGACUAACUGGACACGUAUUGACGCUGAGGUACGAAAGCGUGGGGAGCAAACAGG